UGGGGAAUUUUGCACAAUGGGGGAAACCCUGAUGCAGCGACGCCGCGUGAUUUAGAAGGCCUUCGGGUUGUAAAAAUCUUUUCUAUGGGAAGAAAAUGACAGUACCAUAGGAAUAAGGACCGGCUAAUUACGUGCCAGCAGCCGCGGUAAUACGUAAGGUCCGAGCGUUGUCCGGCAUCAUUGGGCGUAAAGGGUACGUAGGCGGGUAAGCAAGUUAGAAGUGAAAUCCUAUAGCUCAACUAUAGUAAGCUUUUAAAACUGCUCAUCUUGAGGUAUGGAAGGGAAAGUGGAAUUCCUAGUGUAGCGGUGAAAUGCGCAGAUAUUGGGAGGAAUACCGGUGGCGAAGGCGACUUUCUGGCCAUAACCUGACGCUGAGGUACGAAAGCGUGGGUAGCAAACAGG
This 402-nucleotide ribosomal RNA is filed under the name bacterium. Its description in RNAcentral is "partial 16S ribosomal RNA". It matches the Rfam family "Bacterial small subunit ribosomal RNA", at positions 355 to 776 of the family's 1533-position model. The record is from RNAcentral.